Long non-coding RNA from Oxyura jamaicensis (ruddy duck), 193 nucleotides. RefSeq lists it as uncharacterized. NCBI's taxonomy places the organism in Eukaryota, Metazoa, Chordata, Aves, Anseriformes, Anatidae. The record is from RefSeq and is a predicted model, not a curated record. The transcript has 4 exons.
GGAGGAGCAGGCUGUGCUUUCGUGCAGGCAGCGGGAGCUCGCUCUGACAGCGCUCUCACGCAACAACGGGGUGCUGAAAAAGCAGGCGCUCUGGGUCCGUUGUGGGUGGAUUUGGGGUAGGGAAUGGGGCAAAGAGGGGAUGGGGGUGACAUGGGGAUGGGGGUGACAUGGGGAUGGGGGUGACAUGGGGAUG